This is an RNA transcript of Nycticebus coucang (slow loris), 785 nucleotides long. It is a transcript of the gene named exosome complex component CSL4-like, with no coding region annotated. Lineage: Eukaryota; Metazoa; Chordata; Mammalia; Primates; Lorisidae. The record is from RefSeq and is a predicted model, not a curated record. The transcript has a single exon.
GGCGAACGUCUGUGUAACUUAGAGGAGGGCAGCCCGGGCAGCGGAACCUACACCCGGCACUGCUACAUCUUUUCGUCGCUUGCCGCUGCCUGACGAGGAGCAGCGAGAACGGCGCGCUUCCUGUGGUGUCUGUGAUGAGAGAAACAGAGUCUCAAUUACUGCCAGACGUGGGAGCUAUUGUUACCUGUAAGGUCUCUAGCAUCAAUUCACGCUUUGCUAAAGUACACAUCCUAUACGUGGGGUCCACACCACUUAAGAACUCAUUUCGAGGAACAAUCCGCAAAGAAGAUGUCCGAGCAACUGAAAAAGACAAGGUUGAAAUUUAUAAAAGUUUCCACCCAGGUGACAUUGUUUUGGCCAAAGUGAUCUCCCUAGGUGAUGCACAGUCCAACUACUUGCUGACCACUGCCGAAAAUGAGCUAGGAGUGGUGGUAGCCCACAGUGAGUCAGGUGUCCAGAUGGUUCCCAUCAGCUGGUGUGAGAUGCAGUGUCCUAAGACCCACAUUAAAGAGUUCUGGAAAGUGGCCCGAGUACAGCCUGAAUUCUUGCAGACCUAAGAAUCCACGUUUUACCCCGUGGAGGGAGAUAAGCUGUUUUAAGAGUAUGUAUGUGAAAAUAACACCAAGAUGCCAUUGUCUUUAUUCAAAUACUUAGGAUCAGCAAGCAACCACGUCUAGAAGAAUAGGCUAGAAACUUACUCAGUAGGUGGAACAUUUUUCUUGUCAACCUUUCAGUGGAUUUCAUUCUCUUGAAUUGUAACAACUUGUGUUUUGGAGUCACCAGCA